AAUGAACGCUGGCGGCAUGCCUAACACAUGCAAGUCGAACGGUAACAGGAAGAAGCUUGCUUCUUUGCUGACGAGUGGCGGACGGGUGAGUAAUGUAUGGGAAACUGCCUGAUGGAGGGGGAUAACUACUGGAAACGGAAGCUAAUACCGCAUAAUGUCGCAAGAGCAAAGAGGGGGACCUUCGGGCCUCUUGCCAUCCGAUGGGCCCAGGUGGGAUUAGCUAGUAGGUGGGGUAACGGCUUACCAAGGCAACGAUCCAUAGCCGACCUGAGAGGGUGAUCGGCCACACUGGAACUGAGACACGGUCCAGACUCCUACGGGAGGCAGCAGUAGGGAAUCUUCCGCAAUGGGCGAAAGCCUGACGGAGCAACGCCGCGUGAGUGAUGAAGGCCUUCGGAUCGUAAAACUCUGUUAUUAGGGAAGAACAUAUGUGUAAGUAACUGUGCACAUCUUGACGGUACCUAAUCAGAAAGCCACGGCUAACUACGUG
RNAcentral lists this ribosomal RNA (490 nucleotides) under uncultured bacterium. RNAcentral's name for it is "partial 16S ribosomal RNA". It matches the Rfam family "Bacterial small subunit ribosomal RNA", at positions 29 to 507 of the family's 1533-position model. The record is from RNAcentral.